Molecule: long non-coding RNA, 430 nt
Organism: Budorcas taxicolor (takin)
Lineage: Eukaryota; Metazoa; Chordata; Mammalia; Artiodactyla; Bovidae
Exons: 3
Source: RefSeq, a predicted model, not a curated record
GCCACAGGCUCGAGCUGGGGCGGGCCGUCGACCGGGAAGCACCGCCCCUGAAUGCUUAUGCUGGUGGGAGGGAGAGGAAAUGGAAUUCCCCGGACUGUCUAAUGUGGUAGAUACAGAGGAUUUGGCCAUUGGAGUGAGAGAAGAAAUCCAGAAGCCAAGGUACAAGGCAGGAAAUAUUCCUACCUACUCAGUGGGAACGCAUGAUAUCCGAGAGGUCCAUGAAGAAAAGUCCGAGAGAAGCUAAUUUGUACUACCCUAAUCUAAACAAACUUGGGUAUGAAAAUAUAAUGGACCAUGUUAAUGUUCUAAAUUAACAGAGCACAGCAGACUGGGACGAAUUUGUGGUCAGCUUUCUUAUCUUUUCUGAGCCACAAACUACUUUAGUGGUCUGGUGAAACCAUGGACUCUUACAUUUAUGCUUUUAAAUGUA